UUCCGGGCCGGUUCCUUCAAGACUGGUUCCCGGGUGUUGCUCCCUCUGAUGCCUUAUUCUGGAUGCUCCUUCCUCGGCAGAGCUGGACGAACUUCCUCACUGAACCUGGCCCCGGCUGCUCUUGGUGCGGAUGCGGCACCGCCUCUUGCUCGGGCUUCCCGGGCCAGUUCAGAGCCGAAGCCCCCGGCGGUUGACUUUCUCCGUUGGAACGAGGGGUGGAAACGGGGAAAGGGGCGGUCGAGGGUAGUGACCCAUGACCCCUGUUCCCUUUCCUCCUGUCUCGUCUUUCAUGAUCCACGAAUUCUGGGCAAUGGCACUCUUUACACUCCUUGGGAGCAGCUUUCUGGGUGCCUGGCAUACAGUAGGUGCUUAACGAGUGCCGGUUAGUCGGCUUGCUAGAGGAGGGAGCAUUGAAAGCCCUUCCUAGACUGAAUCUCAGAGAAGGCGCUUGCCCUUCCCCCCGCCCCCCCAUGCUGCUCCUGGACCCCGGCGCAGACUGCGCCUUCAGGAAGCCCUGGUGGGAGUGAAACCUCCCGCCCCAGACCUAAGUCCUCUUGACAAAUGGCUAGAAAGACAUUUGCUUCCCAAGUGACAAGUAGCUGAGACAACUCAGCAGGUGUUUGGCAAAGCCUGCUGAAUAAAGCUGAGGUCAAAGCUUCAAAUACCAACAAAUCUCAUAAAUCACAUUCAUCUAACCAUCAGUGCAAGAGAAAAAAGACCCCAUGAAACAAAGACACAGACAACAAUGGUAGUUAAGGUAGGUUAGUUUUCUUGCCAUCAGUGGAAGGAGGGGUUGUAGCUUGAGAGAAAUCACAAACAAAUAAAGCCCUCAUGUAUUCUGGAUUCUUGUGGAGCAUGCUCGCCUUAGCCAGGAUCUGAGGCUCCCAAGGUGUGUUUUAAAGUUGACAGAUUUGACAGAUGUGAAAGGAGUGUAUUUCUGCUGUACUGGAAAAAAAUCACAUUCAAUAACAACUGCUGGACAGUCUUUGCAGAAAGGAGUCCUGUCAACUACCUACCCUGUAUUCUUAGUCACUUAAAAGAAGUUCUGAGUUCUCCUUUGUUUUGGCAUUUUCAGAUCCAGCAUAACUGGGAAAACCUUUUGUCCCAUUGUACUCACUUCAACCUUAUGCAUAGAAAAGCAGAUCUACAUUUUCUAAAGAGGAAGAAGUAGAGAAAGUGUGACCUAAGAAAGCUCUGAGAACCAGGUGACAUGUUGACGGUGACCCAAUACCCAAGAUCAACUUCUAGGCAAAGGAGCACCAUAAGAUGGGAUGUCAACAUUCAUUCUUCAUCAGAAGUAGGAUCAUCAGCUCACUGGUCACACAAAUUCUCAGCAGAGCAACAGGUUUCUUUGAAAAAAAUAUUGUUAUAAAAGGGAGAAAGAAGGAAACAAUAAGCACAUUUCUGCACUGGACCAGAAAGGAUUUGCCUCCAUCACCAUAAGUUACACUAAAAAGACAAAUAGAAAUGAUAUUCCUGAGAAAAGGCAAGACUUGCAGGCUUUCAGGCAAAUGGUUACUGCUAAAACAGGAGUGGCUACUUAAAACAAAAGAGUGAAAACAAACGUGCUUCACAUAAAACAAUAGUUCAAGUAUUAUUCCAGAUAAAAUUUUAAUUCUAAUGCAGGAAAAGAUACCAGGGCAAGUAGGAAACAAAGGCUGCUAUAAGAUUGCUGUUUGCUGGGAUAUGGAGGAAGCUGUCAAUCUGCACACUCACACAUAAGACACUGUGUGGGAUUUCUGAAAAGGGGGAUAAUGACUUGGACACAGUCCAGCAUGAAGACCAAAACCACUGUCUCUGGGAUUGCGCUCUACAGUCAGUGCGUAAAGUGGAACAAGGGAAUACCCAAACCAGGAUGGUAAGAAGCAGCAGACUAGAAUGAGAACCUGUCCUUUCCCCUCGUUCUCUAAGAUCUGACUGGGAGCAGUAUCUCCUGUGUCUUUUUUCAUUAAGUUUCAAUUUGGCUAUAAACAUGAAGCAUAAUUAAAAUGCAGAACUAUAAA
Long non-coding RNA from Antechinus flavipes (yellow-footed antechinus), 2003 nucleotides. RefSeq lists it as uncharacterized. Lineage: Eukaryota; Metazoa; Chordata; Mammalia; Dasyuromorphia; Dasyuridae. The record is from RefSeq and is a predicted model, not a curated record. The transcript has 2 exons.